Molecule: transfer RNA, 72 nt
Filed under: Sus scrofa (pig)
Lineage: Eukaryota; Metazoa; Chordata; Mammalia; Artiodactyla; Suidae
Rfam family: tRNA
About the family: Transfer RNA (tRNA) molecules are approximately 80 nucleotides in length. Their secondary structure includes four short double-helical elements and three loops (D, anti-codon, and T loops).
Source: Rfam by way of RNAcentral
UCCCUGGUGACCUAGUGGUUAAGGAUGUGGUAUUGUCACUGCUAUGGCUCAGGUUAGAUCCUGGCCAAGGAA